UAGCCAUGGGAGUGGGGCUACCAUAAUCUUGAAGCCCUGGUUUCUCACAAACUAUAAAUCUUAUGUCAAUGAAACUUGGUUUAUAUUUGAAACUUGUUUUUUUAGUUGAAACUUGGUUUAUAGUUGAACCUAUGGAUGGUCAUCAGAGUGCAUGGAAAAUUUGUUUAUUGUAGGCGAGACAUUCAAUGCUGUGGAAUCUUGUUUUUAAUUUAGUGACAUUUUAAAAGUUGUUUACAAUCUUUAAUUCUUCUAACUUACUAAGUAGGGGUCAAAAGGGCAAGUCUCCUAAUUUCAUAACCAUAUUGAAAUGACAGUGGCCAUGCCAUGUUCACUGUUAGCCUAAAAAACUGGAAUAUGCCCCACCUCUCAAAAAUACAAGCAAACAACAACAACAAAAAAAGAAGAAGAAAAAGCAAACAACCUGUACAAUAAAAAAAAACCCACAUUUAUAGCGAUUUAGGAGGCAGUUGAAUAUCUCUGCCAUCCCCACCCCACCCCAACAUCCCAUCUCAAAUGUCCAUGUUUUAGCUAUGAAACUAGAGAUAUUUUAAAAUUGUAUUUUGUAACACUUUGUCAGUAUAUUUUUUUCUAAACAUUUUAAUUUUUUUUAGAUUUGUGUACUCAAGAGUUAAUUUCUCAGGAAAUAAAAAGCAUAUUAGUAUUAUAGAGUUUUUAAAAGUUUAAAUCCUGUUCCAUAUUAUAUUUGAUGGAUGAAUUUGUAUGUACAAGUACGCCCACUAUAGGAUUACCAAAUAAGUAUUGCACAAGGCUUGAAAUUCACUGUGAGGAGUGGAAAGCAGACUUUGCUUCUCAGAUUUCAAACUGGAAGCAAAUUCUAAAAAUUAAGCAAAUUCUAGAAAUUAAGAAGCAAUUCUAGAAAUCUGUCUCAACAUUAGAUUUUAUACCAGCAAUGUGGAGCACUUGAGACGAGCAAGAAUAAAAAUAUAAUAUUUAUAUCAUCAUUCCUGAGAAUUCUUGAUAUAUCUGAAAUACUGUGAAAAAUAAGAUAAAUAUUACUGUUUCUGAAAAAAAAAUCUAUAUAUAUCUAAAAUACUGUGAAAAAUAAGAUAUAUAAGCCUAUUACUUUUUCUGAAAAAAAAAUCUCUAUAUAUUUAAAAUACUGUGAAAAAUCUCUAUAUAUAUUACUGUUUCUGAAAAAAACAGUUGUCAAUAUAUCUAAAAUACUGUCAAAAUAAGAUAUAUAUUACUGUUUCUGAAAAUAAAAAUCUAUAUAUCUGAAAUAGUGUCAAAAAUAAGAUAGAAAUCUAAAGCUACUUGUGAAGUUGAUCAGCAGAAAGCAUAUUGUGCAUUUUGAGAGGCAUUGACUGCCUUCCCUCUGUUAAUUUAGAGCCUUGCAAAUUGUAAAGAAAAAGAGAAAAACCCACUAUUGAGGUAAGGAAGUAGGUACAUGCUUGUGGCACAAAGACUUGUAUCAAAUAGUUUGUUCAUGUGUUGUUUGUUUUUCAAUUAAAUGUUUAUUAUUAGUGAUAUGGAGACAGCUUGAUAAACUUGCAUAUUCUGGUAGGUUCCAUGUGAAAUAUUACUUUUAUUAGAAAACAUUCAGUGAUAUUCAGUGAAACCAGACCCUCAGUAAAUGAGAAAUCAGAAAAUCACAUCGACAAAAAAUAAGAGAUAUUCUUUGUAUGUAUAUAUUAAUCACAUUUUAUAACAGACAAAAAGACAACAACAUGAUAUAUCAUCUUCAUGUAUAUAAUUCUGACUUACAGUGGAAAAAGGGGAGAACUAGUUUGGAUAAACUAUUUAAUACAAGUCUUUGCAGUUUGUAGCUGUGUAAUAAGUAAAACAGAAGCCAAGUAUAAAAAAUGAUUAACUCAGGAACUGGGUAUCCAAGUUUAUUGUUAUUUCCAACCCGUAAUCACAGCGUACUUUUAUCUCCAUCACAGAGUGUACAGUUAUUUUUAUCAGUGUACUUCCAGAGUACAGUGUGCUUCCAAUCCCAGUAAUAUAUUGUGUAUAAUAACAUAAUUAUAUAAUAAUACAGUAGUUUUUAUGUAAAUGGUUUUCGAAUUGUGCCUUAAUAUUUUUUUAUGAUAUAUAUAUCAUUUUAAAGUAAUCUGCAGAAUUUGUAUAGUUCAGUAUCUUUAUAUGUUAUUAUAAAAUGUAUACAGUGUCUUCCAAAUAAGAAAAUUUGAAUAUUUGUUUUUCUCACAAUUUCUACUUACUCUACCUUAUGGACAUUUAUAAAUAUUUGUGCCCAAGAAAAAUAGCUGAGAGUGUAUGAGGAGUGAACACUUCUCACACCUGAUGGUGCAGGAUGCCAAAACUUAUAAGAUGUAAUGUGAGACUUGUAUCUAUAAUAAAAUAUGCAAGGCCUGUUUAACACUUUCUCAUCGUUCUGACCACUUCUCCUCUUUUGAUCUGUACUGCUGACAACCUUCUUUAUAUUUAGCCGAUGUCACAUUUCGCAAUUAUCUUUUUUGCGCUCGAAUCCAGUCAACUCCUGUACACACAUAGUGCUAAAUAUUGCAUACAAAAAUGAAUUCCAUCAAUACAACCAUAAUGGAGGCUGCCAGCUUUGUCACUUCACACAGAAGUGGCUAUGUACUUAGCAGCCGUGCAUAUAAGAAGAAGAUAACUGCGAUCUGAGGCCAUACAUGGGGGGAAAGGGGUAGCAGCGAUCAAAAUUUGCAACGCCCUUCACAAUAAGCUGUAACAGUUGUAAAAUUUAUAUACUACAGCAUUUCUAGCAUUGCCGGGUAUUUUUUUAUUUCUAAAACAUAUUGCCCUAGCAGAAUGAUCUGAAUUUCAUGGGUUGGGGUAAUGACAGUUAAUUCCAGCAUUCACUUUUAAAAUUAACAAAAAACAAAAAAUAAAUACAUCUUUAACAAAAGUCAACAUUUUGGAUGUGCCUUAGCAGGGGAGAGGAAAGGGGUAAUACAGUUGGACUAUGGACUAAGUGUGUUGAAUUAAUCACAUUUGUGAAUGGGCCUGUUAGGUAAAAAUUGCCAAUUGAUGUACAUGUAUAUAGCUGCAUAAUGAUUCAUGAAUGUUAAAAAAAAAACCCCAAUAAUUUGCCUGUUAUGUUUCUUUUUGGAUAUAUUUUGAGCUAUUUGUUGUUUUUCAUAUUUUCAUUCCAUCAGUAUAUACUGGAGUGUUGACCUAUUUUUAUCAUAUUUAUCAUAUACACUUGUAUUUAACGACAUCAUAAUGUAGUAUUCAUAUAGAUUGUAUAUUUUCAUUGUUUUUUAGGAUGUACAUUUAUGUAACUGUCAGGCCAAUAUAGCUGAAUAUAAUACAUUACGUGAAUACGUUCUGAUGCAGUACGAAUUCUGAUGUGUUCUGAUACAGCUUCCAGAGAAAUAUAAGUUCUGUUCUAAUACAAUCAAUAAGAAUCUAUGCUAUUUUCCCAUACAGCUUUCAGGUCGAUAUGUUCUUAUGCAAUACCCAUACAAAUAAAUAUGUUUUUAGUAUUAUUUAUGCAAAUAUGCUCAGAUAUAACAGUAAAUUAUAUGAUCUGAUAUAAUAUUGAGGAUGAUAUAAUUUAUGUUCUUUACAAUACCUAGGCUAAUAUUUUCGGAUAAAACACCUAGGCCGAUAUUUUCUGAUAAAAUAAGCAAGCUGAUAUGUUCUAAUAACAUACCUGGGCCAUUAUGUUUUAAUAAAAUACCAGGGCCAAUAUGUUCUAAUGAAAUACCAGGGCCAAUAUGAUCUAAUAAAAUAUCAGAGCCAGUAUGUCCUGAUAUAAUGCUCAAGCCAGUGUCCUGUAAUUACAAUAUCUAGGGUGAUGCUGAACGAUCUGAUACAAUUCCCAGGCCAAUAUGUUCCAAUACAGUGCCCAGGCAGUUAUCUGAUGAAAUACCCAGGCUGAUAUGGUCUGAUAACAUUAUACUGGUAUAUUAUGUAUGUUUAAACACAUCAUGAAGGUGAUGUUUUGUUAAUGAAUUGUUUUAGUAUAAAAAAUUUGAUAUGGCACUAUUGUUUUAAUAUAUUCAUAUGUUAAUUUUAUAUUUGUUCAAUGGAAUAUUAGUCGGAAAGAAUUAACCUAUUUGUCAUUCAUCCAUUCAAUCAUUCCAAACAGUAUAAAUAAAAAUCAACAUUCAGUGUUUAGAAUUGUGUAUCUGCGGGGCAGGAACACUUAUGUGUUCUCUAGUUUUUCAUCCUCACUCCCGCUGACAAUAAGCGCAUGUUGAAGAGAAUUUAAUAACCACAAUUGGUCACUGUUUUCACAUUCAUAAGUCUUAAAGGGAUUUUUUUGUUUGUUAAAUAUUCAAAAAAUAUGUUUAGUAAUUUUAUUGAUUGCAGUUAUACAGUUUUCUGUCUAUCAUACUACAUGUAUAUCCUCUGAAUUAACUUCAUCACAGAAAAAUAAAAAAGCGAAAUACUGGUAGUGGAUUACUGUCAUUUCAAUAAUGAAAGCACAUAAAUGAUGCACGUUUUGCAGGGGUUGGGUUUCGGGGGUUGAAUCCCUCCCCCCGCUGAAAGCAAUUUUUCUUGUUAUUUUACAUUUCUUGACACGCCCCACCAUAAAUUUAGCACACCACAGUCGACCCCCCCCAUCCCCCAUCAAUCACCCCCCCACCCCACCCCACACCCCGCUAAAAUUCCUGCACACGGGCCUGCAUUACUAGUUCUCGGACCCAAUUCAUCAAACUCUCCCAACUUUACAAUCUCACAGUGCAAUGAUGAAUAAUGUUCUGACGUUGCUUAAGAGAGCGUUGUGAACGAGGCCUCUGCUUGUCAGUCCUCGAUGUAAGACGUCCUAAAUUUAAAGGCGCAGACCCUAGUUUCAGCCUAUGGAAAUGGACACUAACUUUGGGUAAUCUACGAAACUGUAAAACAUCUGUGACGCUUAAAUGGGGAAAUGCCGUCAAAAAUACGUUGUUGAGGUUGGCUUGCGUUUUUAGAAUAAUGAAACACGUAUUUCCGGGUAUUACACAAACCAGAAUGAACAGAAACACAUUGGAUGUACGUAAAUGGGUAUUCUAAACAAUCCAAUGGAAGAAACUUAUAAUUUAAAUUAUUAAAACCGGCUGUAAUAGUGAAAAAUAUGUUGUAGUGUUUAAAAACUAAGAUCAAACGGCUGUAAUAAUAAAAAAAAUACGUCAUAGUGUUUAAAAACUAGGGUCUGUCGCUUUAAAGGAUUGCACAGAAAAUUGGUAAGCCAAAAGUAAAGUUGACUGAGCGCCAGACGAAGGUAAAACACUCGUUCUUGCAACUUAUGGAGGCCUGUGUGAGUUCGUUUGUUUACAGCAGUUUUGUUCUUAAACCUUUGUGUUAAACGCUUCACCAUUGGUCAUACCUCCAUGUGUAUAUGUUUGUAAACCAUUACGUGCAAUACAGUCCACGUGGACCCAUGUGGUGGGGGAAUUUGAUAAACUUUAUAUGCAAUAAAACAUUAUAUUGGUA
This 5367-nucleotide long non-coding RNA is filed under the name Gigantopelta aegis. RNAcentral's name for it is "uncharacterized LOC121385228". The record is from RNAcentral. Lineage: Eukaryota; Metazoa; Mollusca; Gastropoda; Neomphalida; Peltospiridae.